Long non-coding RNA from Zingiber officinale, 618 nucleotides. RefSeq lists it as uncharacterized. Lineage: Eukaryota; Viridiplantae; Streptophyta; Magnoliopsida; Zingiberales; Zingiberaceae. The record is from RefSeq and is a predicted model, not a curated record. The transcript has 3 exons.
CCGGCCUCGUCGACGUUGCACUCCACCCCUGGUUCGAAGCCGAUCCCGUCCCUGAUCGCACUCGAUAUCCCCCUGAUGCUAUAAAAUCCCCCAUCCGGCCGUAUCCCUACCAAGCACGCACCAAAAAUCAAUUACUUGGAGGAGGUUGAUUUGGCUCUUGAGGCGGAGGGAGGCUUGGAAGUAGGCGUGCUGGUCGAGGACGGACUCCGAGCACGUCCCGUGCUUCUCCCACUCGUGUCUCCAGAAGGUGGAGCCGUCGCCGCUGGGGCAAGCCAGACUGGGCCACUUCGAUCUCAAGCUCCCUAUUAAAUCUCCGAUCUGCAUUUUGGACGAAGUAGAAGAAGUCGAAAUCUUGUGCGGUGGAGAUUGAUGGAGAGGAAAAGAGGAGGGGAAGAAGGAGGAGCAGCAUGAUGGAAGGCAGCUGCAUGCGUCCUGUCAAGUUAGUUGUGCAUAUGUGUCUUGUAGGGUCUUUAUAGUCGUCGUCGAAGGAAAAGUUGUGGUGGUGGUGGUUUGGGUUGGAUAAGUUUAAACUCAACCUACAAUUUCAAGAUUUGGGUGAUUAGUUUGGAUUAUUAAGGACGUUACCUCCAUUGCAUUAAUUCCGGUUACGUUUAUUAA